GCUUCCUCUGCCAAGAAUGAACGCAGCUGCUUAACUAACAAUCAUAUGAAAGUAAUUACUGAUGUGCUGUGUGGUGUGCAUGUGCAUCUCAACUGAGAAUCUGCUCAUUAUUUUUUGGGCCCCACUAUAUCCAUAAUUGAAAGCAGGAGUAGGGUUGGAACAUGGGAGAAGGAUGCAAACUCAAGGAGGAGGAGAGUAGAGAGGUAUGGGCCAGUAGGCCACCCACAAUAAAGCCAAAGGCUUCAAAUUCAAACAAGAAAGGAAAAAAAAAUGUGCUCAGCAAUCAGCUUCAAUGGAACAGGACAUGAGGGGGGAGGCCCAAGAAAUGUGAUACUGAAAAAGAAAAAGGGGGAAAAAAUUUACAGCCAGGUGAAGAGAGUUUAAGCUACCUGAUCGUCACUUCCACAUCCACCAAGGCCUUCUUCUGAUUGACGGUGUAUCCAGAACAUGUGAUUCUUGAGGAGGACAUCAUAUCGAUCGAGCUAGAAAUUGUGCUCAGCCGGCAGGAACACUGACCUGGAGGCAAAUCUCGCAGACAACGCUUCCCUUCUCGUCGCACCAUCUCUGUAUGCAUUCCCUGUGAGCAAACUGGAAUCGAACGCAAGAUCAGACCUUUACGCACAAACCGCCGUCGCGAUCGCGCGAGAAGACGAGAAGGGAAGGAAAGGCCUGACCUUGAGCGUGCCGGAGCAAGCGCAGGGGGAUUCCAUGGCAGUCGACCGUUCUUCCUCUUCCUCGUGGCAAAUCCUGCAGAGGCACACGGUAACGGCAGCGGCGGCAGCAGGAGAGCAAACGGAAUCCUGUUGAUGAAGAUGAUGGUGAUCAUCUAUCAGAAAUCUAAUCUCUUCUCGCCCUGCAAACUCCAUCCCUCUCGUUCCUUCUCCCCUUUUUUUUUUCCAGUAAAUUAAAUCGGUAGCCUGUUCUUGGUGCUGGAAGAUAUAAAUAAGGAUGGGAAAUCGGAGGGAGAAAAGGACGGAUAUGUCCUCAUCAAUCGGCAAGCGAGUAGAUAGAUAGAGGAAGAUGAAGAGAGUCUCGUGUUGUUGGUCUACGAUUGGAACUUGGAUUUGGAUUGAUAAACAGUUGAGAGUCUGACCACCAAAGUUGAAAUUGAAAUGUUCCAAGUUGUAUUGUU
This is a long non-coding RNA of Zingiber officinale, 1132 nucleotides long. RefSeq lists it as uncharacterized. The transcript has 2 exons. The record is from RefSeq and is a predicted model, not a curated record. Lineage: Eukaryota; Viridiplantae; Streptophyta; Magnoliopsida; Zingiberales; Zingiberaceae.